RNAcentral lists this ribosomal RNA (1020 nucleotides) under Leuconostoc citreum. RNAcentral's name for it is "bacterial SSU rRNA". It matches the Rfam family "Bacterial small subunit ribosomal RNA", at positions 429 to 1440 of the family's 1533-position model. The record is from RNAcentral. Lineage: Bacteria; Bacillati; Bacillota; Bacilli; Lactobacillales; Lactobacillaceae.
AGCACUGUUGUAUGGGAAGAAAUGCUAAAAUAGGGAAUUAUUUUUAGUUUGACGGUACCAUACCAGAAGGGGACGGCUAAAUACGUGCCAGCAGCCGCGGUAAUACGUAUGUCCCGAGCGUUAUCCGGAUUUAUUGGGCGUAAAGCGAGCGCAGACGGUUGAUUAAGUCUGAUGUGAAAGCCCGGAGCUCAACUCCGGAAUGGCAUUGGAAACUGGUUAACUUGAGUGUUGUAGAGGUAAGUGGAACUCCAUGUGUAGCGGUGGAAUGCGUAGAUAUAUGGAAGAACACCAGUGGCGAAGGCGGCUUACUGGACAACAACUGACGUUGAGGCUCGAAAGUGUGGGUAGCAAACAGGAUUAGAUACCCUGGUAGUCCACACCGUAAACGAUGAAUACUAGGUGUUAGGAGGUCUCCGCCUCUUAGUGCCGAAGCUAACGCAUUAAGUAUUCCGCCUGGGGAGUACGACCGCAAGGUUGAAACUCAAAGGAAUUGACGGGGACCCGCACAAGCGGUGGAGCAUGUGGUUUAAUUCGAAGCAACGCGAAGAACCUUACCAGGUCUUGACAUCCUUUGAAGCUUUUAGAGAUAGAAGUGUUCUCUUCGGAGACAAAGUGACAGGUGGUGCAUGGUCGUCGUCAGCUCGUGUCGUGAGAUGUUGGGUUAAGUCCCGCAACGAGCGCAACCCUUAUUGUUAGUUGCCAGCAUUCAGUUGGGCACUCUAGCGAGACUGCCGGUGACAAACCGGAGGAAGGCGGGGACGACGUCAGAUCAUCAUGCCCCUUAUGACCUGGGCUACACACGUGCUACAAUGGCGUAUACAACGAGUUGCCAACCUGCGAAGGUGAGCUAAUCUCUUAAAGUACGUCUCAGUUCGGACUGCAGUCUGCAACUCGACUGCACGAAGUCGGAAUCGCUAGUAAUCGCGGAUCAGCACGCCGCGGUGAAUACGUUCCCGGGUCUUGUACACACCGCCCGUCACACCAUGGGAGUUUGUAAUGCCCAAAGCCGGUGGCCUAACC